CCUUCAAGUCUUCAAAAUUUGAAUUAGUUUGGAUGAGAUUUCCAAAACUAAUUCAUCCUUAUCCACUCUCUCUCUCCCUUGUUUCACGCUUGUUCCCGUAGGUGCACCUCCUUGAGUGCCACAUCAGCAUUUCAGCACCUCCCUCACGCCCAAGACUCCUUUCCCACGUCCUCCUCUAAGUCCUAUUGCCAUUAGGACUCCACACAACCCAAUUCAGCC
RNAcentral lists this long non-coding RNA (219 nucleotides) under Phoenix dactylifera (date palm). Its description in RNAcentral is "long non-coding RNA (PDAC_LNC011304)". The record is from RNAcentral. Lineage: Eukaryota; Viridiplantae; Streptophyta; Magnoliopsida; Arecales; Arecaceae.